RNAcentral lists this ribosomal RNA (565 nucleotides) under uncultured Septoglomus. RNAcentral's name for it is "SSU rRNA". It matches the Rfam family "Eukaryotic small subunit ribosomal RNA", at positions 548 to 1114 of the family's 1831-position model. The record is from RNAcentral. Lineage: Eukaryota; Fungi; Glomeromycota; Glomeromycetes; Glomerales; Glomeraceae.
UUGGAGGGCAAGUCUGGUGCCAGCAGCCGCGGUAAUUCCAGCUCCAAUAGCGUAUAUUAAAGUUGUUGCAGUUAAAAAGCUCGUAGUUGAACCUCGGGAUCAAUGGGUCGGUCAUGCCAAUGGUAUGUACUGGCCUCAUUGGUUCUCACCUUCUAAGGAACCAUGAUGUCAUUCAUUUGAUGUUGUGGGGAAUUAGGACUGUUACCUUGAAAAAAUUAGAGUGUUUAAAGCAGGCUAACGCUUGAAUACAUUAGCAUGGAAUAAUGAAAUAGGACAUCGCAUUCUAUUUUGUUGGUUUCUAGGAUCGAUGUAAUGAUUAAUAGGGAUAGUUGGGGGCAUUAGUAUUCAAUUGUCAGAGGUGAAAUUCUUGGAUUUAUUGAAGACUAACUACUGCGAAAGCAUUUGCCAAGGAUGUUUUCAUUAAUCAAGAACGAAAGUUAGGGGAUCGAAGACGAUCAGAUACCGUCGUAGUCUUAACCAUAAACUAUGCCGACUAGGGAUCGGAUGAUGUUGAUUUUUUAAUGACUCAUUCGGCACCUUACGGGAAACCAAAGUGUUUGGGUUC